AUUGAACGCUGGCGGCAGGCCUAACACAUGCAAGUCGAGCGGAUGAAGGGGGCUUGCUCCUGGAUUCAGCGGCGGACGGGUGAGUAAUGCCUAGGAAUCUGCCUGGGAGUGGGGGAUAACGUCCGGAAACGGGCGCUAAUACCGCAUACGUCCUGAGGGAGAAAGUGGGGGAUCUUCGGACCUCACGCUAUCAGAUGAGCCUAGGUCGGAUUAGCUAGUUGGUGGGGUAAAGGCCUACCAAGGCGACGAUCCGUAACUGGUCUGAGAGGAUGAUCAGUCACACUGGAACUGAGACACGGUCCAGACUCCUACGGGAGGCAGCAGUGGGGAAUAUUGGACAAUGGGCGAAAGCCUGAUCCAGCCAUGCCGCGUGUGUGAAGAAGGUCUUCGGAUUGUAAAGCACUUUAAGUUGGGAGGAAGGGCAGUAAGUUAAUACCUUGCUGUUUUGACGUUACCAACAGAAUAAGCACCGGCUAACUUCGUG
This 484-nucleotide ribosomal RNA is filed under the name uncultured bacterium. RNAcentral's name for it is "partial 16S ribosomal RNA". It matches the Rfam family "Bacterial small subunit ribosomal RNA", at positions 30 to 507 of the family's 1533-position model. The record is from RNAcentral.